CCGCCUGUUGCGGGGCGAUGAAGUGAAUAUGGGUAUCGAUUCCGCCCGCGGUGAGAAUCUUGCCUUCCCCCGCAAUGACGUCGGUCGCGCCACCGACGACGAUCGUCACACCGGGCUGGAUAUCCGGAUUGCCCGACUUGCCGAUCCCCGAGAUCCGUCCGUUCUUGAUGCCGACAUCGGCUUUGAUGAUGCCCCAAUGGUCGAUGAUGAUGACAUUGGUGAUGACGACGUCGGCGACCUCGGCAUGGGGGCGCUGACCCUGCCCCAUGCCGUCGCGG
Molecule: small RNA, 278 nt
Filed under: Rhizobium metallidurans
Lineage: Bacteria; Pseudomonadati; Pseudomonadota; Alphaproteobacteria; Hyphomicrobiales; Rhizobiaceae
Description: 5' ureB small RNA
Rfam family: 5' ureB small RNA
Source: Rfam by way of RNAcentral